AAAAAAUUGAUUUCAUUUCCCCAAUGAAAAAAAAUCCCAGGUAAAAAUUGAACAUCCCUCCGUGGAAGAUUUACCGCACCGUCCGGCAACGUCGCGGAACGAACAGCUGUUGGAUCGAAUUGACGAGGCCACGCGAGGAGGACGGAGCGAUAACAAAGAGAGGGAAAGAGACGUCUAAGCGGCGCAUAGAGGAGCACGCCAGAUUCCCGAACAGCCGGUGCUCUUGUGCCGUGUUUUUGUAGCACCGUGGAAGUUGUGAGAGAGUGAGUGAAGUGGAGUGCAUCGAUCGUGGAGCGUUUCCCUGGUCGUCGUCGGUGUCCCGACCCGACAAAAGAACGGACACUUGUUGCGCCCUCGAAUCACUCCCAAACACACACAGAAAUGGUAAUUCGGCGACAGGGUCGGAUCGAGGUGAAUUUUGGUACUUCGGGAAAUGAAUGAGGGGAAGUGGACUAUGCGACUAGCUUUUUUCUUUUAGAAAUUUCGAAUUAAUCGCGAAACUACAAGUUUUUGAGUGUCAUGAUUGAAGGGCUCCAACUCCCAAACUACGACGAAUGGAAGCUGAGUGAGACGUACAAAGCCACACCUUGGUUAUAAGCAAACAAAACAUAUA
Molecule: long non-coding RNA, 613 nt
Organism: Coccinella septempunctata (seven-spotted ladybird)
Lineage: Eukaryota; Metazoa; Arthropoda; Insecta; Coleoptera; Coccinellidae
Exons: 2
Source: RefSeq, a predicted model, not a curated record